ACUCAAGAAACGGAUCUAAGUCCAACCUGAAACUCAUUAUUUUAGUUCACCUAAACAACCACUUGAUUUUCAGCGUAAUUCAAAUAAGGUACAGCCUAUUUGAAACAGGAUACAACCUAAAUUAAUGGAUAAGACUGACUAAACACACAACCAAGUGGGCCUAAAAGCAGCCAUCUUUAAAAUAGCGUCAAAGCUUAAUUGUUAUUUUUGUCUAAUAACUUAAUUAUUAUCUUAAUCCUCUACCAAUACUGAGUAAUUCUAUAUUAUUAUAGAAAAUUUUAUGUUAAAACUAGUAACAAGAAGAAGACUCUUCUCUUUAAUGUGAGUGUAAAUCAGAAAGGACAAACCGCUGAUAAUUAACGUCAUUGAAACCAAAGCAGAAACUCAUCAAGAAAAACCUACUUCCGCUAACGUUAACCUAACACAAGAGCAUUUUAAGAAAGAUUAAAAGAAAAAGAAGGAACUCGGCAAAUAUUAACCUCGCCUGUUUACCAAAAACAUCGCCUCUUGACUUUUAUAAGAGGUCCAGCCUGCCCAGUGACCAUGUUCAACGGCCGCGGUAUCCUAACCGUGCGAAGGUAGCGUAAUCACUUGUUCUUUAAAUGUGGACUAGUAUGAAUGGCACCACGAGGGUUAUGCUGUCUCCUUUUUCUAAUCAGUGAAACUAAUCUCCCCGUGAAGAAGCGGGAAUACAUCUAUAAGACGAGAAGACCCUAUGGAGCUUUAAACAACACAGCAAUUACCUACUAAACUAUAAAUUUCCGAAUACCUUAACCUUUUUAAGUAAUCUGACUGCAAGUUUUUGGUUGGGGUGACCACGGAGCAUAACACAACCUCCAUGCUGAAAGAAUUUUUUCUAAGCUAAGAACAACCUGUCUAAGCAUCAAUAUAUUGACAUCCAUUGACCCAAUACAUUUGACCAACGAACCAAGUUACCCUAGGGAUAACAGCGCAAUCCACUUCAAGAGCUCCUAUCGACAAGUGGGUUUACGACCUCGAUGUUGGAUCAGGGUAUCCCAGUGGUGCAGCCGCUACUAAAGGUUCGUUUGUUCAACGAUUAAAACCCUACGUGAUCUGAGU
This 1080-nucleotide ribosomal RNA is filed under the name Rhinella ornata. RNAcentral's name for it is "partial 16S ribosomal RNA". It matches the Rfam family "Bacterial large subunit ribosomal RNA", at positions 929 to 2610 of the family's 2925-position model. The record is from RNAcentral. Lineage: Eukaryota; Metazoa; Chordata; Amphibia; Anura; Bufonidae.